GACGAACGCUGGCGGCGUGCUUAACACAUGCAAGUCGAACGGAAAGGCCCCUUUGGGGGUACUCGAGUGGCGAACGGGUGAGUAACACGUGAGUAACCUGCCCUUGACUUCGGGAUAACUUCAGGAAACUGGGGCUAAUACCGGCUAGGAAUCCUUGCUGCAUGGUGGGGGUUGGAAAGCUUCGGCGGUUUUGGAUGGACUCGCGGCUUAUCAGCUUGUUGGUGGGGUAGUGGCUUACCAAGGCUUUGACGGGUAGCCGGCCUGAGAGGGCGACCGGCCACAUUGGGACUGAGAUACGGCCCAGACUCCUACGGGAGGCAGCAGUGGGGAAUAUUGCACAAUGGGCGGAAGCCUGAUGCAGCAACGCCGCGUGCGGGAUGACGGCCUUCGGUUUGUAAACCGCUUUCAGCAGGGGCGAAGCUUGUGGUGACGGUACCUGCAGAAGAAGCACCGGCUAACUACGUG
This 465-nucleotide ribosomal RNA is filed under the name uncultured bacterium. RNAcentral describes it as "partial 16S ribosomal RNA". It matches the Rfam family "Bacterial small subunit ribosomal RNA", at positions 28 to 507 of the family's 1533-position model. The record is from RNAcentral.